GUGACAGUUGGAGGGAAGACAGUUGAUCAGGACUGAGAGCUAAGGACAGGGGAUAAAGGAACAUAGAAUAUUUAUACCAUAAAUCGGUGGUGAGACAACUUCACCAGACAUAUAAAUGACAGGGAAUAAAGGAACAUAGAAUAUUUAUACCAUCAAUCGGGGGUGAGACAACUUCACCAGACAUAUAAAUCACCAUGUGCUGGAUCCUGGCGCGUUUCCAACUUCCAACACUGUCCAGAUCAUGAUAACGUUGCGGUAUUAGGAUGAGACAUUAUGAGAAAAUACCCAGGAACGUGCCUGUGAGAAGAUCAGGAGGUGACUUCUGCUGUGGAUGUGGCAGCCAGAUGGACACGCAGUAAACACAGAACAAAUGGAUGCAUCAUACGCACUAUUCCUAUUAAAUAAGGAAUUUUAUUUUAAAAAGGUCAUUCUGGGGGAAACACGUCACAUCCACCUAAUAAACAGUCACUGUUACUAUAAUUAUAUAAAAAUGAAAAUACAUGUAAUAACAGUAACAAUAGUAACUGCUUUCCUAUUUUGCUUCCUUUUGUUUUCUCAUUGUUUUACAUUUUUACUUACUUACAUACUAUACUAAAUAGAAAGUAGGGAUCGGUAUACUAAACUGGCGGAUGGGAUUCCAGCGGUCACACUACCAAUGCCAGCAUCCCAAUAGUCACGAUCCCAACAGGGGUGAGGUAAGUAUUCACACAACCCCUACCCCCUUAACCCUACCCCUCCUUUACCACAGCCUAUCCCUGACAUCCAACAUUAGUGCCUAACCCUAACCUCCACCCUUAGUGUUUAACCCUAACCUCCCACCGGUGGUGCCUAACCCUAACCUCCCACCAGGGGUGCCUAACCCUAACCUCCACCCUUAGUGCCUAACCCUAACCUCCACCCUUAAUGCCUAACCCUAACCUCCACCCUUAAUGUCUAACCCUAACCUCCACCCUUAGUGCCUAACCCUAACCUCCACCCUUAGUGCCUAACCCUAACCUCCCACCGGUGGUGCCUAAUCCUAACCUCCCACCGGGGGUGCCUUACCCUAACAUCCACCCUUAGUGCCUAACCCUAACCUCCACCCUUAAUGCCUAACCCUAAACUCCACCUUUAAUGUCUAACCCUAACCUCCACCCUUAAUGCCUAUCCCUAACCUCCACCCUUAGUGCCUAACCCUAACCUCCACCCUUAAUGCCUAACCAUAACCUCCACCCUUAAUGCCUAUCCCUAACCUCCACCCUUAAUGCCUAACCCUAACCUCCACCUUUAGUGCCUAACCCUAACCCUCCCCCCGGGUGGCAUUUAAACCCUACACACCCAUCUUCCCUCACAUGCAGUCAAACAGUAACCCUGUCAAGAUGUUUACUUGUUCUGGAUUCCGGCGCCCCCGUGUUCUGUCGGGUGUUGGGAUUCCGGCGUCGAUAUUUCAACUGCUGGGAUCCCGACAGCUGGUAUCUUGAACUUAUACCAAAAGGACACGGUAUAAAAAGUAACAUGCAAUACAGCUUAAAGAUCCUUUACAUGCCUAUUUCCCUGUAGAUUGUAAGCUUGCGAGCAGGGCCUUCCUACCUCUAUGACUGUUUGUUAUUACCCAGUUUUCUUACAACAUUGUUUUGUUAUAUUAUUAUUUCCAAUUGUAAAGCGCAACGGAAUUUGCUGCGCCAUAUAAGAAACUGUUAAUAAAUAAAUAAAGUAC
Long non-coding RNA from Pseudophryne corroboree (corroboree frog), 1696 nucleotides. RefSeq lists it as uncharacterized. The record is from RefSeq and is a predicted model, not a curated record. The transcript has 4 exons. Lineage: Eukaryota; Metazoa; Chordata; Amphibia; Anura; Myobatrachidae.